GGUGUCGAAAGACUUAAUAGGGAAGCCGGUAGAAGCCGGAGCGGUCCCGCCACUGUAACAGGGAGCAAAUCUGCAUUAGUUAUGUCACUGGGGUGCUGAGCACUUUGGGAAGGCGCAGAGGAGCGAUGAUCUGAAGCCAGGAGAACUGCCUGUUUAACAA
Molecule: non-coding RNA, 160 nt
Filed under: pig gut metagenome
Source: RNAcentral